GCUGCUACAGCUCAAUUGGAUAGAGCAUCGGGCUCUUACUUGCACUAGGCAUCUGAAGGCUGUGAGUUUAACCCUCAUGGUGGGCU
Molecule: non-coding RNA, 86 nt
Organism: Asterophora parasitica
Lineage: Eukaryota; Fungi; Basidiomycota; Agaricomycetes; Agaricales; Lyophyllaceae
Source: the annotation of a GenBank genome assembly